This 279-nucleotide ribosomal RNA is filed under the name uncultured bacterium. Its description in RNAcentral is "partial 16S ribosomal RNA". It matches the Rfam family "Bacterial small subunit ribosomal RNA", at positions 506 to 784 of the family's 1533-position model. The record is from RNAcentral.
UGCCAGCAGCCGCGGUAAUACGGAGGGUGCCCGCGUUGUUCGGAAUUAUUGGGCGUAAAGAGCAUGUAGGCGGACUGUUAAGUCUGGCGUGAAAGCCCGGGGCUCAACCCCGGAAGUGCGUUGGAUACUGGCAGUCUUGAGUAUGGGAGAGGAAAGUGGAAUUCCGAGUGUAGGAGUGAAAUCCGUAGAUAUCCGGAGGAACACCAGUGGCGAAGGCGACUUCCUGGUCCAAUACUGACGCUGAUGUGCGCAAGCGUGGGGAGCAAACAGGAUUAGAUA